UGAGGAAUAUUGGUCAAUGGGCGGAAGCCUGAACCAGCCAAGUCGCGUGAGGGAAGACGGUCCUAUGGAUUGUAAACCUCUUUUGCAGGGGAGCAAGACCUGUACGUGUAACAGGUUGGAGAGUACCCUGAGAAAAACGCAUCGGCUAACUCCGUGCCAGCAGCCGCGGUAAUACGGAGGAUGCGAGCGUUAUCCGGAUUUAUUGGGUUUAAAGGGUGCGUAGGCGGGCUGGUAAGUCAGCGGUAAAAAUGCGGUGCUCAACGCCGUAGUGCCGUUGAAACUGCCGGUCUUGAGUGAGCGAGAAGUAUGCGGAAUGCGUGGUGUAGCGGUGAAAUGCAUAGAUAUCACGCAGAACUCCGAUUGCGAAGGCAGCAUACCGGCGCUCAACUGACGCUGAGGCACGAAAGCGUGGGGAUCGAACAGGAUUAGAUACC
Molecule: ribosomal RNA, 434 nt
Filed under: uncultured bacterium
Lineage: Bacteria
Description: bacterial SSU rRNA
Rfam family: Bacterial small subunit ribosomal RNA
Source: RNAcentral